GGCUCAGAUUGAACGCUGGCGGCAUGCCUUACACAUGCAAGUCGAACGGCAGCACGGGAGCAAUCCUGGUGGCGAGUGGCGAACGGGUGAGUAAUAUAUCGGAACGUGCCCAGUCGUGGGGGAUAACGUAGCGAAAGCUACGCUAAUACCGCAUACGACCUGAGGGUGAAAGCGGGGGAUCGCAAGACCUCGCGCUAUUGGAGCGGCCGAUAUCAGAUUAGCUAGUUGGUGGGGUAAAGGCCUACCAAGGCUACGAUCUGUAGUUGGUCUGAGAGGGCGACCAGCCACACUGGGACUGAGACACGGCCCAGACUCCUACGGGAGGCAGCAGUGGGGAAUUUUGGACAAUGGGCGCAAGCCUGAUCCAGCAAUGCCGCGUGCAGGAAGAAGGCCUUCGGGUUGUAAACUGCUUUUGUCAGGGAAGAAAUCUUCUGGGCUAAUACCCCGGGAGGAUGACGGUACCUGAAGAAUAAGCACCGGCUAACUACGUG
RNAcentral lists this ribosomal RNA (491 nucleotides) under uncultured bacterium. Its description in RNAcentral is "bacterial SSU rRNA". It matches the Rfam family "Bacterial small subunit ribosomal RNA", at positions 21 to 507 of the family's 1533-position model. The record is from RNAcentral.